GGACGGCAUACAUAUCUUCCCCCUGACCCGAUUUGUUUUUUAAAUGGCCUGCUGUAAAUAAUCAGAGUACUGACUGGGUGAUCACAGCCCGGAGACACAGGCGAAGGCCUUCCAUCCAAAUGCCAGAGUAAAUGCGCUUGGAUUAUGCAUUCACGUGGUCAGUACGUCAACGUUUCCCCAUUUUAUACAGACUUUAGCAAUUGUUAAUUGAACUCUUCUUUUUUUGUGCAUGAACGUUGAAAUUCGGGCAUUUCAAAAACUUGUCGCUUUCUCGUGGAUGACGAAGGGCACUCCACGUUAUUCCUCCCGUAGAAGCUGUUUGCAAAGGUACAUGUUACUUGAAAACAAAAGCUGGUUUAAAGCAAGAGCUAUUUAUCAAAUUGCAAUUUACAAGUUUCAAGGAGAAUGCCAGGAGAUUGAGUUGAGGAAGUUUAAGCAGUCAACAUUGGAUGGACCUCAGUUUGGAAACUUUCAAAGUCGCGAGUAUAAUAGCUAAACACUGUUUGCCCAGAUCAUAAAUCAUGUGCACAUUCAUCUUGAGGAUAACACCCUAUCUAAAAAUGCUUUUGAAGCUUUUUGCACGAAUUCAGAGGUGUCAAUGGCCAUCAAAGGAGCAUUUUUUGGCAAAUGAAGAAAAUCGACAUCCCAAAGGCCUGCCAAUCAUAGAGCAACUGCGAGUUUUCGUCCUUUCCCCUCUUCAUUUACAAGCAUAGAACCAAUAUUCAGAGAUGAAGGAAACAGAUUAUGUGCCACAUUCUUUUAAGCCAUAUAAACUUUGUCAAACUAUUCCAUGGCGUUUUACCCUUAGUUCAUAUAACAAUGCAUAUGAAUAGAACAUGUAUAAAUCUAACCAGUACAAAAGAACAAAGCUGGACGUAGUAUUUUUUUA
This is a long non-coding RNA of Hemiscyllium ocellatum (epaulette shark), 889 nucleotides long. RefSeq lists it as uncharacterized. The record is from RefSeq and is a predicted model, not a curated record. NCBI's taxonomy places the organism in Eukaryota, Metazoa, Chordata, Chondrichthyes, Orectolobiformes, Hemiscylliidae. The transcript is spliced from 4 exons.